RNAcentral lists this transfer RNA (60 nucleotides) under Terebratalia transversa. RNAcentral describes it as "tRNA-Lys". It matches the Rfam family "tRNA". From Rfam's summary of the family: Transfer RNA (tRNA) molecules are approximately 80 nucleotides in length. Their secondary structure includes four short double-helical elements and three loops (D, anti-codon, and T loops). Further hydrogen bonds mediate the characteristic L-shaped molecular structure. tRNAs have two regions of fundamental functional importance: the anti-codon, which is responsible for specific mRNA codon recognition, and the 3' end, to which the tRNAs corresponding amino acid is attached (by aminoacyl-tRNA synthetases). tRNAs cope with the degeneracy of the genetic code in two manners: having more than one tRNA (with a specific anti-codon) for a particular amino acid; and 'wobble' base-pairing, i.e. permitting non-standard base-pairing at the 3rd anti-codon position. The record is from RNAcentral. Lineage: Eukaryota; Metazoa; Brachiopoda; Rhynchonellata; Terebratulida; Laqueidae.
UGGGGUAUAGCUUAAUGUUAAAGCUUUGGAUUUUUACUUCAACGAUGGGAUCUGCUCCAA